UUACUGCUCGCACUUGAGAGACCGGAAGUUGGUGUUUAUGGGCCGCGGUCAAUGUAGUUCUGUCAGUUAAGGCUUUUGCACGGUUUGCUGGUGAUUUAAACGCACAUGGAUAUAUUCCGUGUUUCCUGCUCCAUGAAAGCUGGGAAGAAUGUGCUCAAAGGGAAACCUGGGAAGAAGCAGCUCUUCACCUGAAAAAUGUUCGCUUUGCCUCGGUUGUGAAUUCUUUCGUUGAGGAAGAGAAUUACCAUUAUGUCACUAUUUUAAUGAAAGGAGAGGUGGAUGUGACUCAUGAUUCAGAACCAAAGAAUGUAGAGCCUGAGAAAAAUGAAAGUAAGAGAACUAUAAAUAAUGCAUUUUCUAUGAGAGCACAUGGUCUGAAGGAAGAUUACGUUAUAUUGCCAUAGGAAGAAAAUUAGAUUAGAAUAUAAUUAUACUUCAGUUAGAAUGUAAAUAUACUUAAAUCCUGGAUACAUAAGGACAGAACAGGAGAGAGAACUGGGCCUAGAGCCAGACUACUUGGUUCGCAUCCUGGUUUUUCUACUUAGAGGUUUGUAACCUUGGACAAGUUAUUUAGGUCUCUGGGCCUCUUUUCUCACUUGUGACAAUAGUACCUACUUCAGAUGCGUUGUUGUAAGAAUAAAAUGAGUUAAUACAUACAACGGGCCUGGCCUAGUGAACACAGUAAGUACUCAGUAAGCGUUAGUUUUAUUGUUAGUGUUUAAUUUUGUUUCACACUGAUUUUUAAGCAAAACAUUUAACGUGACUUCCUCAGUUUUCUCACCUGUGCAAGAGAGGUAAAACUUCCUUUUAUAGAGAAUGCUUAACCUGACAAAACACUUAGCUGUUACCUUCUGCGUUGAAUUGAGUGCUCUGAAAGCUUUAAUGACAAUAACUGAUAUUCUGUUAUUUACUGUGUACUAAGCAUUGUUCUUAGGGCUUUGCAUGUAUCAUCUCUCUUCAGAUUUCAUAAAACUGCAUGAUAAAAGGAACUAAAGAGUAAAAUAUCAAACUUAUUCAGUAUAUUAUUUGCCAUAAGAAACCUUAUCCAAGUGGUCUCAUGUAGGAUCACCCCUCUAAACGUUUAAUUUCUCCUCUAACAGCGAAAAUCUUUUCAUUCACAAAUACUUGCUGAGUACUGUGUGCCAGACAUUGUUCUAAGCACUAAAGGAAAAGUGGUGUUUAAAACAAAGUCCCUGCCCUCCUGGACUUUACAUUUUAUCUGGGGGGAAAGGCAACAAAUUAGCAGAUAUUUUAUGAUAGUAAUGAUAGGAGUAAGAAUAAAAAUAAAGCUGUGUAAAGAUA
Aethalodelphis obliquidens (Pacific white-sided dolphin) is the source of this 1302-nucleotide RNA transcript. It is a transcript of the gene named nudix hydrolase 15, with no coding region annotated. The record is from RefSeq and is a predicted model, not a curated record. The transcript has 2 exons. NCBI's taxonomy places the organism in Eukaryota, Metazoa, Chordata, Mammalia, Artiodactyla, Delphinidae.